Molecule: ribosomal RNA, 253 nt
Filed under: uncultured bacterium
Lineage: Bacteria
Description: partial 16S ribosomal RNA
Rfam family: Bacterial small subunit ribosomal RNA
Source: RNAcentral
UACGGAGGGUGCAAGCGUUGUCCGGAUUUAUUGGGUUUAAAGGGUGCGUAGGCGGCCUUUUAAGUCAGUGGUGAAAUCCCGGGGCUCAACCCCGGAACUGCCGUUGAUACUGGCGGGCUUGAGUUCGGUGAAGGCGGGCGGAACUGGCGGUGUAGCGGUGAAAUGCUUAGAUACCGCCAAGAACCCCGAUUGCGUAGGCAGCUCGCUGUGCCGAAACUGACGCUGAGGCACGAAAGCGUGGGGAGCGAACAGG